AAUUCGACGCAACGCGCAGACUUACCUGGGCUUGACAUCCCGAUCGCACUUUCUGGAAACAGAGAGGUCAGUUCGGCUGGAUCGGUGACAGGUGCUGCAUGGCUGUCGUCAGCUCGUGUCGUGAGAUGUUGGGUUAAGUCCCGCAACGAGCGCAACCCUCGUCCUUAGUUGCCAGCAUUAAGUUGGGCACUCUAAGGAGACUGCCGGUGUUAAACCGGAGGAAGGCGGGGAUGACGUCAAGUCCUCAUGGCCCUUAUGUCCAGGGCUACACACGUGCUACAAUGGCCGGUACAAAGGGUAGCAAGACCGCGAGGUGGAGCCAAUCCCAAAAAGCCGGUCUCAGUUCGGAUUGGAGUCUGCAACUCGACUCCAUGAAGUUGGAAUCGCUAGUAAUCGUGGAUCAGCAUGCCACGGUGAAUACGUUCCCGGGCCUU
Molecule: ribosomal RNA, 434 nt
Filed under: uncultured Desulfuromonas sp.
Lineage: Bacteria; Pseudomonadati; Thermodesulfobacteriota; Desulfuromonadia; Desulfuromonadales; Desulfuromonadaceae
Description: bacterial SSU rRNA
Rfam family: Bacterial small subunit ribosomal RNA
Source: RNAcentral